Molecule: small nucleolar RNA, 102 nt
Filed under: Ursus americanus (American black bear)
Lineage: Eukaryota; Metazoa; Chordata; Mammalia; Carnivora; Ursidae
Also listed under: 2 other names
Description: Small nucleolar RNA SNORD67
Rfam family: Small nucleolar RNA SNORD67
About the family: snoRNA HBII-166 belongs to the C/D family of snoRNAs.
Source: Rfam by way of RNAcentral
UGUGGGACUGAGAAGUGGCUCUCAGACUGAGGCACAUCGCGAGGUCACAGGACUCAAACUCCCUGGGGACUUGACCAAAUUAAAGGGGGUCAUCUUAUCACU